RNAcentral lists this long non-coding RNA (1223 nucleotides) under Crocodylus porosus (Australian saltwater crocodile). Its description in RNAcentral is "lncRNA (ENSCPRG00005008608.1)". Lineage: Eukaryota; Metazoa; Chordata; Crocodylia; Crocodylidae. The record is from RNAcentral.
AUGUGCUCUCCAUGUCUGUGCUGCCACCUGCACCGCUUGGGCAGUUUCCUCCAAGCCUUUGCUCACAGGACAGUUCUGGUUGCCCUUUUUCCCUUCUCUCCCACUUCCAGCAUUCCACCUGCUUGCUUUUGUUCCCGGCCUUUGUGCUUCCUGGACCUGUCAGCUUUCCCAUUUCCAGGACAACAACUUCUGGUAGCCGGAGCUCAUGAAAUACAUGUUGGCACACCUGUGGAGCUGCCAGUGUGUUUUCAGGAUUGUUUUGCCUCAUGGCCAGGGCAGCUGAAUUCUCUGCACACUCCCCAACUGUUCCCUCAGGUGUGAGGUUUUAGACACUGAGAGAUGCCACUUGAUGACAUCAUCUCCCUGCCCUAAGUUUCCUGGACUCCUGGUGGGUAAGUACUGCAAAACCUCCGUGACAGGGUUGGAGCUAGUCUCCCAGUUACAGUUACCAUCAGUAAUGGCUUCAGAAAAUCCUCCCUAUCAAUUGGAAGAACAGAAGGAUAAUCACCAACAUUCUGGCCCAAGUAAACAUCACCAGCAUUGAAGCCGUGUUUAUAUGGCACCAGCUCUGUUGGACAGGACGUGUCAUAAGGAUGCCUGAUAAUUGGAUCUCAAAACAGGUCCUAUACCCCAACUUGCCACUGGCCACCAUUCUAGAGGUGGACAAAAGAAGAGAUUCAAGGACACCUGGAAGACGAAUUUGAAGAAAUCAGUCCUCAGGAGACUCAGUCACUGAAUCAUCUCCCAUGAUGCCAUUGAUUUUUGGAACAAACUUGCCUCAUUAUGGAGGUGCAUAGAUGAGAGAGACCAAGGGAGAGAGCUUAGAUCUCCAGCAUCUAUUUGUCAUGUCUGCAGUCAAAUAUGCAGAUCUCAGCUUGACCUUCUCAGUCAUCUUUGGACUCACAGAUGACUUCCCUAUUUACUCAAACACUAUCAUCCUCAUAUCAAGGGGACUGCUGCCAGCAAUGACUCUCCAGCUUAUGCUGUUUUAUAUUGACUGUCUGACCAGGGUGUCUGAGAAUAGGAUAGAAGGGAUAUUGACUUUUUAUUACAUUUUUUUCUUAUAGGUUGAUUUGCCUGUCUGACCUGGUAAUUGAGGGGGUUUUUUGAGUUCCUGUACUGGCUUGACUUGGGUGGUAAUAUACUGUGACAAAUUUUGGGAAAUGUAAGUGGUUAAUUACAUUUGUGUUUUUCCUAAAAUAAAAUGUGAUAUUUAAAUGCCA